This 1346-nucleotide ribosomal RNA is filed under the name metagenome. Its description in RNAcentral is "bacterial LSU rRNA". It matches the Rfam family "Bacterial large subunit ribosomal RNA", at positions 1564 to 2925 of the family's 2925-position model. The record is from RNAcentral.
UGAGUACGAGCUGCUACGGCAGCGAAGUGGGUGAUGUCAAGCUUCCAAGAAAAGCCCUAUACCCGUUAAGGCAUGAUGGCCUGUACCCGAAACCGACACAGGUGAGGUGGUAGAGAAUACCGAGGGGCGCGAGAUAACUCUCUCUAAGGAACUCGGCAAAAUGGCCCCGUAACUUCGGGAGAAGGGGUGCCACCGCAAGGUGGUCGCAGUGAAGAGGCCCAGGCGACUGUUUACCAAAAACACAGGUCUCCGCUAAGUCGCAAGACGAUGUAUGGGGGCUGACGCCUGCCCAGUGCCGGAAGGUUAAGGAAGCUGGUCAGCGUAAGCGAAGCUAGCGACUGAAGCCCCGGUGAACGGCGGCCGUAACUAUAACGGUCCUAAGGUAGCGAAAUUCCUUGUCGGGUAAGUUCCGACCCGCACGAAAGGCGUAACGAUCUGGGCGCUGUCUCGGAGAGAGGCUCGGCGAAAUAGAAUUGUCUGUGAAGAUGCGGACUACGUGCACCCGGACAGAAAGACCCUAUGAAGCUUUACUGUAGCUUGGUAUUGUGCCCGGGCUCUGAAUGCGCAUAGGUGGGAGGCUUUGAUCCAUUGCUUGUGGGUGAUGGUGAGCCAACGGUGAGAUACCACUCUUUCAGAGCUAGGGUUCUAACGGUCACCCGUCAUCCGGGGACCGGACAGUAUCAGGUGGGCAGUUUGACUGGGGCGGUCGCCUCCUAAAAGGUAACGGAGGCGCGCAAAGGUUUGCUCAGGCUGGUUGGAAAUCAGCCGACGAGUGUAAAAGCAGAAGCAAGCUUGACUGUGAGACCUACAAGUCGAACAGGGACGAAAGUCGGCUUUAGUGAUCCGACGGUUCUGAGUGGAAGGGCCGUCGCUCAACGGAUAAAAGUUACUCUAGGAUAACAGGCUGAUCUCCCCCAAGAGUUCACAUCGACGGGGAGGUUUGGCACCUCGAUGUCGGCUCAUCGCAACCUGGAGCUGAAGUCGGUCCCAAGGGUUGGGCUGUUCGCCCAUUAAAGCGGUACGCGAGCUGGGUUCAGAACGUCGUGAGACAGUUCGGUCCAUAUCCGGUGCAUGCGCAGGAAUAUUGAGAGGAUUUCUCCCUAGUACGAGAGGACCGGGAGGAACGCACCUCUGGUGUGCCAGUUAUCGUGCCAACGGUAAACGCUGGGUAGCCAUGUGCGGAGAGGAUAACCGCUGAAAGCAUCUAAGUGGGAAGCCCACCUCAAGAUGAGUAUUCCCAUGGCGUUAGCCAGUAAGGUCACGGGCAGAACACCCGUUGAUAGGCUCUACGUGGAAGCCGGGUAACCGGUGAAGCGGAGGAGUACUAAUAGACCGAGGGCUUGACC